GAACUUAAGCAUAUCAAUAAGCGGAGGAAAAGAAACCAACAGGGAUUGCCUCAGUAACGGCGAGUGAAGCGGCAACAGCUCAAAUUUGAAAUCUGGCCGCAAGGUCCGAGUUGUAAUUUGUAGAGGAUGCUUUUGGCGAGGUGCCUUCCGAGUUCCCUGGAACGGGACGCCAUAGAGGGUGAGAGCCCCGUACGGUAGGACCACCAAGCCUCUGUAAAGCUCCUUCGACGAGUCGAGUAGUUUGGGAAUGCUGCUCUAAAUGGGAGGUGUACGUCUUUUAAAGCUAAAUACCGGCCAGAGACCGAUAGCGCACAAGUAGAGUGAUCGAAAGAUGAAAAGCACUUUGAAAAGAGGGUUAAAAAGUACGUGAAAUUGUUGAAAGGGAAGCAUUCAUGACCAGACUUGGGCUUGGUUGAACAUCCGGCGUUCUCGCCGGUGCACUCUGCCAGUCCAGGCCAGCAUCAGUUUGCCCCGGGGGAUAAAGGCGGCGGGAAUGUGGCUCCCUUCGGGGAGUGUUAUAGCCCGUCGUGUAAUGCCCUGGGGCGGACUGAGGAACGCGCUUCGGCACGGAUGCUGGCGUAAUGGUCAUCAAUGACCCGUCUUGAAACACGGACCAAGGAGUCGUCUUCGUAUGCGAGUGUUCGGGUGUCAAACCCCUACGCGUAAUGAAAGUGAACGUAGGUGAGAGCUUCGGCGCAUCACCGACCGAUCCUGAUGUUCUCGGAUGGAUUUGAGUAAGAGCAUACGGGGCCGGACCCGAAA
Molecule: ribosomal RNA, 762 nt
Filed under: uncultured fungus
Lineage: Eukaryota; Fungi
Description: eukaryotic LSU rRNA
Rfam family: Eukaryotic large subunit ribosomal RNA
Source: RNAcentral